GGAUCAUUGUCGAAAUCGAACGGAAGAACGACCCGCGAAUCGUCAUUGCGUAGUAGACAGAGCCCGUGAGCACCUAACGCUCACGGGUCUCGCGUCGCGUCGGCGCGGGUGCACUCGAGACCCGCGUCGUACCGGCGGACAAACAACGUCAGCACGGAUCGUGCCAAGGAGCUGCAUGGAGAGGAUCGUCGUCCCACGCCUUCGAUAGUCCUCGACGCGGGACGGGGGACGUACGCGAUCUCUACUCAAAAGUCUAAACGACUCUCGGCAACGGAUAUCUCGGCUCUUGCAUCGAUGAAGAACGUAGCGAAAUGCGAUACUUGGUGUGAAUUGCAGAAUCCCGUGAACCAUCAAUUCUUUGAACGCAAGUUGCGCCCGAAGCCAUUCGGCCGAGGGCACGCCUGCCUGGGCGUCGUGAAUCCCCUUGCCCCUGGGCACCCGCACGAGCAUCGGCGGGGACAUAUGCUCGGGCGCAGAAUAUGGUCUCCCGUGGGAUCGGCAUGCACGGCAUGUCGAGGUGCGGUUGGCCGAAAAUCGAGCAUGGCGGUGACGGGCACCACGGCGUUCGGUGGAUCGAACGAGAUUGGCUGCGUCGUGGGCUCGGCAUGCGGCGGGCUCCGGACUUUGAAUAUCCCCGAGUGCGAUCCCAGGUCAGGCGGGGCUACCCGCUGAGUUUAAGCAUAUCAAUAAGCGGAGGAAAAGAAACUAACGAGGAUUCCCUUAGUAGCGGC
The sequence is a ribosomal RNA, 731 nucleotides long. The stretch from base 260 to 415 matches the Rfam family "5.8S ribosomal RNA".